GUUCCUAUGGUAUAAUAAUUUUGGGGCAUAAGUCCAACUGCCUAACUUCCCUUCUUCCUGCCUGUUUUCCUGAAGUUGCGUCUGCAGGCUUCCUCUUAAUUCUAUGGAUCAUGCAAUAGUCUUUCAAGAAAUUAUCUUCUGCUUAGCUAGUCACUUCCUGUUGCUAGAACCAUGAAGAGGCCUGGUGAAAGAUGUUCAGUAUACUACCUGCAUCAGCUGCUACUGCUAUGUGACAAGCAAAUUUUCCAGAAACACUGACAUGGAAACAGGAUCUUUCUUCUCCUACUGUUUGUUCCUCGACUACAGUUAUAAUCCUCUAUUUGUGACAUCAUAAUUAGUUGCCACUGGAGAAGACGAUCGUGUCACAAAAGGAUUAGGACCUAAGGUCGUAAAAGGUGAUAUGGCUUCUGCCUGUUCCUCUUGGGAUUUGCAGUCUUGGAGUCCAGCCACUAUGCUGUGGGGAAGCAAAGAAAGCUGUGGAGAGGCCACGUGGGGAGGAAUGCCAUCCUUAGCAUGGGCUGAGCUCCCAGGCAGCACCCAUCUCCAGACAUGCGAGUGAACAGGACUUCCGGCAAUUCCAGCCCCAGCCACUGAGUCACUUCCAGUUUCUCAGUGUUUCCAGGGGAGGCCUCAGACACUAUGGAGCAAAGAAAAUCUGACCCAGCUGUGCCCUGUCCAAAUUCCUGACCCAUAGAGAAUACAAGAGAGAAUAAAACGAUGUUGUUUAAACCAUUAAAUUUUGA
RNAcentral lists this long non-coding RNA (743 nucleotides) under Homo sapiens (human). RNAcentral describes it as "HSALNT0373041". Lineage: Eukaryota; Metazoa; Chordata; Mammalia; Primates; Hominidae. The record is from RNAcentral.